This 425-nucleotide ribosomal RNA is filed under the name uncultured bacterium. RNAcentral describes it as "bacterial SSU rRNA". It matches the Rfam family "Bacterial small subunit ribosomal RNA", at positions 359 to 776 of the family's 1533-position model. The record is from RNAcentral.
GAAUAUUGCGCAAUGGGCGAAAGCCUGACGCAGCCAUGCCGCGUGUGUGAAGAAGGCCUUCGGGUUGUAAAGCACUUUCGGCCGGAACGAAAUCGCGUGGGCUAACACCCCGCGUGGAUGACGGUACCGGAAGAAGAAGCACCGGCUAACUACGUUCCAGCAGCCGCGGUAAUACGUAGGGUGCGAGCGUUAAUCGGAAUUACUGGGCGUAAAGUGUGCGCAGGUGGCCGCGCAAGUCGAGUGUGAAAGCCCCGGGCUUAACUUGGGAAUUGCGCUCGAAACUACGUGGCUAGAGUGUGGCAGAGGGAGGUGGAAUUCCACGUGUAGCGGUGAAAUGCGUAGAGAUGUGGAGGAACACCAAUGGCGAAGGCAGCCUCCUGGGCCAACACUGACACUCAUGCACGAAAGCGUGGGGAGCAAACAGG